CAAAGUGUAGCUUAAACAAAGMWCCUGGCUUACACCCAGAAGAUUUCAUGCAUAAUGACCACUUUGA
RNAcentral lists this transfer RNA (67 nucleotides) under Vormela peregusna (marbled polecat). Its description in RNAcentral is "tRNA-Val". Lineage: Eukaryota; Metazoa; Chordata; Mammalia; Carnivora; Mustelidae. The record is from RNAcentral.